Molecule: small nuclear RNA, 107 nt
Filed under: Sciurus vulgaris (Eurasian red squirrel)
Lineage: Eukaryota; Metazoa; Chordata; Mammalia; Rodentia; Sciuridae
Source: RNAcentral
GUGCUCGCUUCAACAGCACAUAUACUAAAAUUGAAAUGAUACAGAGAAGAUUAGCAUGGCCCCUGUACAAGGAUGACACAAAAAUUCAUGAAGCUUUUCAUAUUUUU